RNAcentral lists this ribosomal RNA (250 nucleotides) under uncultured bacterium. RNAcentral describes it as "partial 16S ribosomal RNA". It matches the Rfam family "Bacterial small subunit ribosomal RNA", at positions 524 to 773 of the family's 1533-position model. The record is from RNAcentral.
UACAGAGGGUGCAAGCGUUAAUCGGAUUUACUGGGCGUAAAGCGCGCGUAGGCGGUUCGUUAAGUCAAAUGUGAAAUCCCCGAGCUUAACUUGGGAAUUGCAUUCGAUACUGGCGAGCUAGAGUGUGGGAGAGGAUGGUAGAAUUCCAGGUGUAGCGGUGAAAUGCGUAGAGAUCUGGAGGAAUACCGAUGGCGAAGGCAGCCAUCUGGCCUAACACUGACGCUGAGGUGCGAAAGCAUGGGGAGCAAAC